AAUGAACGCUGGCGGCGUGCCUAAUACAUGCAAGUCGAGCGGACGAACGAGAAGCUUGCUUCUCUGAUGUUAGCGGCGGACGGGUGAGUAACACGUGGAUAACCUACCUAUAAGACUGGGAUCACUUCGGGAACCCGGAGCUCAUACCGGAUAAUAUUUUGAACCGCAUGGUUCAAAGGUGAACGACGGUCUUGCUGUCCCUUAUAGAUGGAACCACGCUGCAUUAGCUAGUUGGUAAGGUAACGGCCUACCAAGGCAACGAUGCGUAGCCGAUCUGAGAGGAUGAUCAGUCACACUGGAACUGAGACACGGUCCAGACUCCUACGGGAGGCAGCAGUAGGGAAUCUUCCGCAAUGGGCGAAAGCCUGACGGAGCAACGCCGCGUGAGUGAUGAAGGUCUUCGGAUCGUAAAGCUCUUUUAGUAGGGAAGAACAUAUGUGUAAGUAACUGUGCACAUCUUGACGUUACCUAAUCAGAAAGCCACGGCUAACUACGUG
Molecule: ribosomal RNA, 497 nt
Filed under: uncultured bacterium
Lineage: Bacteria
Description: partial 16S ribosomal RNA
Rfam family: Bacterial small subunit ribosomal RNA
Source: RNAcentral